RNAcentral lists this ribosomal RNA (908 nucleotides) under uncultured bacterium. RNAcentral's name for it is "bacterial SSU rRNA". It matches the Rfam family "Bacterial small subunit ribosomal RNA", at positions 33 to 930 of the family's 1533-position model. The record is from RNAcentral.
ACGCUAGCUAUAGGCUUAACACAUGCAAGUCGAGGGGAAACGGCAUUAUGUGCUUGCACAUUUUGGACGUCGACCGGCGCACGGGUGAGUAUCGCGUAUCCAACCUUCCCUCCACUCGGGGAUACCCCGUUGAAAGACGGCCUAAUACCCGAUGUUGUCCACAUAUGGCAUCUGACGUGGACCAAAGAUUCAUCGGUGGAGGAUGGGGAUGCGUCUGAUUAGCUUGUUGGUGCGGGUAACGGCCCACCAAGGCUACGAUCAGUAGGGGUUCUGAGAGGAAGGUCCCCCACAUUGGAACUGAGACACGGUCCAAACUCCUACGGGAGGCAGCAGUGAGGAAUAUUGGUCAAUGGACGUAAGUCUGAACCAGCCAAGUAGCGUGCAGGAUUGACGGCCCUAUGGGUUGUAAACUGCUUUUGUUGGGGAGUAAAGUGAGGCACGCGUGCCUUUUUGCAUUUACCCUUCGAAUAAGGACCGGCUAAUUCCGUGCCAGCAGCCGCGGUAAUACGGAAGGUCCAGGCGUUAUCCGGAUUUAUUGGGUUUAAAGGGAGUGUAGGCGGUCUGUUAAGCGUGUUGUGAAAUUUAGGUGCUCAACAUCUACCUUGCAGCGCGAACUGGCGGACUUGAGUGCACGCAGCGUAUGCGGAAUUCAUGGUGUAGCGGCGAAAUGCUUAGAUAUCAUGACGAACUCCGAUUGCGAAGGCAGCGUACGGGAGUGUUACUGACGCUUAAGCUCGAAGGUGCGGGUAUCGAACAGGAUUAGAUACCCUGGUAGUCCGCACGGUAAACGAUGGAUGCCCGCUGUUAGCGCCUGGCGUUAGCGGCUAAGCGAAAGCAUUAAGCAUCCCACCUGGGGAGUACGCCGGCAACGGUGAAACUCAAAGGAAUUGACGGGGGCCCGCACAAGC